RNAcentral lists this ribosomal RNA (481 nucleotides) under uncultured bacterium. RNAcentral describes it as "partial 16S ribosomal RNA". It matches the Rfam family "Bacterial small subunit ribosomal RNA", at positions 30 to 506 of the family's 1533-position model. The record is from RNAcentral.
AUUGAACGCUGGCGGCAUGCUUUACACAUGCAAGUCGAACGGCAGCGCGGGGCAACCUGGCGGCGAGUGGCGCACGGGUGAGUAAUAUAUCGGAACGUACCCAGAAGUGGGGGAUAACGUAGCGAAAGUUACGCUAAUACCGCAUACGAUCUACGGAUGAAAGUAGGGGACCGCAAGGCCUUAUGCUUUUGGAGCGGCCGAUAUCUGAUUAGCUAGUUGGUGAGGUAAAGGCUCACCAAGGCGACGAUCAGUAGCUGGUCUGAGAGGACGACCAGCCACACUGGAACUGAGACACGGUCCAGACUCCUACGGGAGGCAGCAGUGGGGAAUUUUGGACAAUGGGCGCAAGCCUGAUCCAGCAAUGCCGCGUGAGUGAAGAAGGCCUUCGGGUUGUAAAGCUCUUUUGUCAGGGAAGAAACGGUAGAGGCUAAUAUCCUUUGCUAAUGACGGUACCUGAAGAAUAAGCACCGGCUAACUACGU